Molecule: transfer RNA, 85 nt
Filed under: Felis catus (domestic cat)
Lineage: Eukaryota; Metazoa; Chordata; Mammalia; Carnivora; Felidae
Rfam family: tRNA
About the family: Transfer RNA (tRNA) molecules are approximately 80 nucleotides in length. Their secondary structure includes four short double-helical elements and three loops (D, anti-codon, and T loops).
Source: Rfam by way of RNAcentral
GCCUGGGUGGCUCAGUCGGUUAAGCGCCUGACUCGGGCUCAGGUCAUGCUCUCACGGUUCGUGGGUUCGAGCCCCACGUCGGGCU